This 1565-nucleotide unclassified non-coding RNA is filed under the name Hevea brasiliensis (rubber tree). Lineage: Eukaryota; Viridiplantae; Streptophyta; Magnoliopsida; Malpighiales; Euphorbiaceae. The record is from RNAcentral.
CAUUAACAUGCAACUGUAAGAAGGUUAACAAAAUCACAACAAAGAUUAUUCUGUGUCCUCUCUUUUGGGCAUAAGCCACAGAGUAACAAGGUCAAAUUAAAGAAUCACAGAAUUGUCGGAAAGCUCCUCAAUUUUUCAAUUCAAAUUUAUGAAAGUGAAGAGACAAGGAGCCAUUCUUAAUUUCCCCAGUAAAUGUUACAGACAAAACAAUGGUGCAACUAAACAAAUGGAUGAACCGUAUUGCACAUGCCUGGGUUCCUAAUGCACCAGAGUGGCUGAAGCGGGUCAGCAUGAAUUCCUCUNGUAUCUCCACUCAUUUAAACGAUCCAUUGCCCCAGCAUACCUCUUCAUGCCUGUUUCAUCCCUAUUUCCUGACCACAAAGUCUCUGCCAUUGCUGAAGCUCUAGGCCAAAUCCUUGCAUCCAGAACUGUUGGAUCCGCUUGCUCUGACCAUAAUGCUACCUCCCCACCAAGCACCAAUUUAGACUCUUCCUGGCUCAAUCCGUACGUUAUGUCAUAAUUAUAUAUGGUUUGCCAUGUUUUAAAAGGUCCACACCAUGAUCCCCCAUUCCCAGCACUACCACCUGUUGGUGGCUGAUCAUAUUGGCUGUCAUUCCCAAGAAAGUCGCCAUGCCCACAAUCCAAAUAAUAGAAUUCAGAGGAUGACACAAUAGCCCGGUAACCAGCAGAAACAAUCAGUUUUGUAUUGUUUGGACCAUUGUUCCAUGUUUGUAGGAUAGUAUGCUCAGGCGGAAGAAUUGAGGCAUUCACCUUAACAUUGUCAUCCAACAAGAUAUCCUCCCAGUAUACCACAGUGCGAUUAAGUGAUACAAUAUAAGGGAAGGUUGAAUUGACAAAGUUCUCUAAUAGCUGACUGAGAGUUCCAUUAUCAGAUAGGAAAGACUGAAUGGCUGGGUCAGCUUUCCAACAACCUGGGAUGAUCUCAUCAGCUCCAGCGUGGUAAAAUGGUUCAGGGAAUAAGGUGACUGUGUCAGCAAUUACAUUUUUGAGGACUUCAUAUGUCUUGGGGUUCAGUGGGUUUAGAUGGCCAGCUCCUGGUUCGGAUGCAAGCCGGUCAGCCCAUUCACUACCAGCUGGCCACCAGAACAUGUUUGCGCACGUCACAAUAUUUGGGUAUGCUCCAGCCCAUGAUCCUGUAUGUCCGGGAGAGUCGAUUUCUGGUAGAACCCUAACCCCGUGUUCCAAACCAAACCGAACAAUGGCUGCAACAUCCGCCGGGGAGUACUGCAUGCGUGGCCCAUAAGAACCCUUGGCUGCAAGUUCAGGCACAGACGGUAGCACCAAAGGAAACGAAUGGGAAUCCGUAAUGUGCCAGUGGAACACAUUGAGCUUAUUAGCACUCAUGGCCCCAAUGGUUCGUAAUAAAUCCUCUACCUCAUAGUAAUUCCUGGAGGUAUCCAGCAUAACCCCUCUGUGAGCGAAGAGCGGAAAGUCCCAUAUGUAGAGUCCCACCGGCACGCGCGAAGGGUCGCCCCACACCAGUUGGGAGAACGUCUCCAGACCCCUCAUUGCCCCCCACACCGUCUCAGCCGUCAAAUUGGCGG